GACGAACGCUGGCGGCGUGCUUAACACAUGCAGGUCGAACGGAACGGCCCUGCUUUUGUGGGGUGCUCGAGUGGCCAACGGGUGAGUAACACGUGAGUAACCUGCCCUUGACUUUGGGAUAUCCUCAGGCAACUGGGUCUAAUACCGGAUAGGAGCUCCUGCCGCAUGGUGGGGGUUGGAAAGAUUCGGUGGUUGGGGAUGGACUCGCGGCUUAUCAGCUUGUUGGUGUGGUAGUGGCUUACCAAGACAUUGACGGGUAGCCGGCCUGAGAGGGUGACCGGCCACACUAGGACUGAGAUACGGCCCAGACUCCUACGGGAGGCAGCAGUGGGGUAUAUUGCACAAUGGGCUGAAGCCUGAUGCAGCAACGCCGCGUGCGGGAUGACGGCCUUCGGGUUGUAUACCGCUUUCGCCUGUGACGAAGCGUGAGUGACGGUAAUGGGUAAAUAAGCACCGGCUAACUACGUG
RNAcentral lists this ribosomal RNA (468 nucleotides) under uncultured bacterium. RNAcentral's name for it is "partial 16S ribosomal RNA". It matches the Rfam family "Bacterial small subunit ribosomal RNA", at positions 28 to 507 of the family's 1533-position model. The record is from RNAcentral.